UUGAUCUCCGAUCAGGUACGGAUACCCGCUGAACUU
Molecule: ribosomal RNA, 36 nt
Filed under: Penicillium pulvillorum
Lineage: Eukaryota; Fungi; Ascomycota; Eurotiomycetes; Eurotiales; Aspergillaceae
Description: partial 28S ribosomal RNA
Source: RNAcentral